RNAcentral lists this ribosomal RNA (258 nucleotides) under uncultured bacterium. RNAcentral's name for it is "partial 16S ribosomal RNA". It matches the Rfam family "Bacterial small subunit ribosomal RNA", at positions 1234 to 1500 of the family's 1533-position model. The record is from RNAcentral.
UGGUCAACAGAGGGAGGCAAAGCCGCGAGGCAGAGCAAACCCCUAAAAGCCAUCCCAGUUCGGAUUGCAGGCUGCAACCCGCCUGUAUGAAGUUGGAAUCGCUAGUAAUCGCGGAUCAGCAUGCCGCGGUGAAUACGUUCCCGGGCCUUGUACACACCGCCCGUCAAGCCAUGGGAGCCGGGGGUGCCUGAAGUUCGUGACCGCAAGGAGCGACCUAGGGCAAAACUGGUGACUGGGGCUAAGUCGUAACAAGGUACC